This 348-nucleotide long non-coding RNA is filed under the name Trifolium pratense (red clover). Its description in RNAcentral is "long non-coding RNA (TPRA_LNC005577)". The record is from RNAcentral. Lineage: Eukaryota; Viridiplantae; Streptophyta; Magnoliopsida; Fabales; Fabaceae.
UUUCCAGCACUUUCUCAAACGCCAUUGAUAGUGCUCAAUUAGUGACACACCGUUCAGAUCUUCAACUGAAUCACUUCAAUCGAAGUAGUAAAAUGCUCCAAUCGAAGUCGAUUUGUGAAUAUAGGGUGGUUUUCCGAUGAGAUUGAAGAAUUAGGGUUUUUUUGGGGGGGUUUUUUUUUACUUUUUUUUUGUAAUAGAGAAGAAGGAAUAGCGGGUAAAACGAGAACGAAGAAAAAAAGAGAGAGAAAGAAAGUAAAGUGAGGUUUUUCGAAAAGAAAAGAAAAAUAAAAUCGAAACUAAAUUCUCUGAAAUUCUCUGAAAAGAAAUCCUAUUACUCUGAAACUAAAU